CUACACAUGCAAGUCGAACGCAGUAGCAAUACUGAGUGGCAGACGGGUGAGUAACAUGUGGGAAUCUGCCUUGUGGUUCAGGACAACAUUGGGAAACCGAUGCUAAUACUGGAUAAGCCCUUACGGGGAAAGUUUUAAUGCCAUAAGAUGAGCCCGCAUUUGAUUAGUUAGUUGGUGAGGUAAUGGCUCACCAAGACAAUGAUCAAUAGCUGAUCUGAGAGGAUGAUCAGCCACACUGGGACUGAGACACGGCCCAGACUCCUACGGGAGGCAGCAGUGGGGAAUCUUGCACAAUGGAGGAAACUCUGAUGCAGCGAUGCCGCGUGAGUGAAGAAGGCCUUUGGAUUGUAAAGCUCUUUUGUAGGGGAAGAUAAUGACUGUACCCUAAGAAUAAGGUCCGGCUAACUUCGUGCCAGCAGCCGCGGUAAUACGAAGGGACCUAGCGUAGUUCGGAAUUACUGGGCGUAAAGCGCGCGUAGGCCGUUGAGUUAGUUAAUUGUGAAAUCCCAAAGCUUAACUUUGGAACUGCAAUUAAAACUGCUCGACUAGAGUUUGAUAGAGGAAAGCGGAAUACAUAGUGUAGAGGUGAAAUUCGUAGAUAUUAUGUAGAACACCAGUUGCGAAGGCGGCUUUCUGGAUCAACACUGACGCUGAGGCGCGAAAGUAUGGGUAGCAAAGAGGAUUAGAUACCCUCGUAGUCCAUACCAUAAACGAUGAUUGCUAGAUGUUGGAAAUUUAUUUUCAGUAUCGCAGCUAACGCAUUAAGCAAUCCGCCUGGGGAGUACGACCGCAAGGUUAAAACUCAAAUGAAUUGACGGGGACCCGCACAAGCGGUGGAGCAUGUGGUUUAAUUCGAAGAUACGCGCAGAACCUUACCAACCCUUGACAUGUCUGUCGCGAGUUUAGGAAACUAGACUUUUCGGUUCGGCCGGACAGAACACAGGUGCUGCAUGGCUGUCGUCAGCUCGUGUCGUGAGAUGUUUGGGUAAGUC
RNAcentral lists this ribosomal RNA (992 nucleotides) under uncultured Pseudomonadota bacterium. Its description in RNAcentral is "bacterial SSU rRNA". It matches the Rfam family "Bacterial small subunit ribosomal RNA", at positions 49 to 1086 of the family's 1533-position model. Lineage: Bacteria; Pseudomonadati; Pseudomonadota. The record is from RNAcentral.